UCUCAGGUAUUGGCUACUAGUAUUCAUUGCACAAGUUGCUGUGUCAUAUUGAACUCUUGGUUUGUUGACUUACCGGUCUGAUACUUGCGUUCUUAUAACUCUUUGUGUAUAUUCAUUAGAAUUUCUCUGGACAUUUUCGACUUUUGCAUGGAGUACAAUUGUUUAUUUAUUUUCAACAUGUUGACUUUUUUCUACUUUGGCUACACUGUAAGAACAGAGCUACAGUUUUAGUCUUGUUGCUGGCUUUAGUACUGUUUCCACCUGACAAAUAAUGGAAGAGUUCCCUGCCUGAGAAUUUUCCUGUAUGAACUAUACUGUUAAAUGUAUAGAAAGUUUGACACAGGACACCAUGAGGACUGUCUGAUGAUUGGCUGUGGGUCUCUAAAACCCAGUGUUUCAUUGCCUGGAAGGCAGCAAGUGAUCUUCCAGCCAAAAAGUGGAAAGAAACAAUCCAACACCCUCUUCAAUGAAGUCUGCUCUGAACAAUCCUACAACCAAAGUCUGUCCUUGUUAUGACUGCCAGAAGCUGUGUUCAUGCAUUUCUGGAAGUAAAUGUUGGCCAUGAAGUCAGGGAUGUUAUUCACAGAGGAAAUUAUAUCAGCCAAAUUUAGGAAAGUUUAAAGCUCAUGACAUUUCCUGUUCUUUUAGGGAAAGCUUGUGUAUGUUAGAAUAUUUUUAAGAAUCAAGGAUCACUUUUGUUUCAAAAUAAUGUUUGUUCUUUGCCUCUAUUUAACUUCUGAUGUUGCUGUUACUUAUGUUUGAGGAAAGAGAUAUCAGAUUGAAGUUGAGUAGGGGGCACAGAUGUGGAAAAAUAUGCAAUCAAAAAACACAUCCCAUCUUAUGUUCUUAGUCUAUUGUGGAUGGACUGCUUGUGAUGUGUGAAAGGGCAGAAAAUCCAGGAAGCUGACUACUUGGGUGGGUGAAGGAAGAGAAAAGAAGAAAGAAGUCUGUUCAAAUAGAAUUGCAUGUUCAAUGUAAAAGCAGAGAAUAAAACCCCUAAAUUCCAAAUACUACCAAGAUUUAGUGCCAUUAUUUAAUUUAUUUGCAAAAAUGUGAUUGCUUUCUACAAGCAUCUUGGGAUGUUUAGAUUUAUAUCUGUGUUAUGUUGGUUCUGUAAAAAAGUAAAAAUUCUAAGCCAAGAAUAUUUUCAUGCUUCUAAUAAAGGCAAUGCAAAGUAUUCAACAUGAAGCCUAGUAGGCUAAAGAUGCAAAGGAGAAAAUUGAUAACUCUCCCUACAUUGCCUUCUUUUCACCUUCACACACUUUGGUCAUAGAGCUUGAGAACUGUCAUAGUCCAGAACUAAUGUGAAUUUUUUGUUCAGAGUAAUAAGAGAAACAUGACUUCCUUUGCUAAAUAUAACAUGUGUAGAUAUGCCUCUGCUCAUCUUCACGUAUAUGUAGUUGAAAGAAUGACUAGAAAGUGGUAGGUCUGGUUAUACAGCUUUGAGUCCUUGUUGAGUUGUAAACCUAAGAUUAUACUUUUAAGUAUCACCUAGCAUGUGGGUCAGCCACCAGUGAUCUCAAAGGACCAAAUAAAUAAAUAAACAAACAGCACAAGUGAUUUAUACUCCUGUCUUAAAUUCCAUCCUUAUUUUUCUGAAGCAGAUCCAUUGAUACUUAUAAAAGUGAUUGAUUAUAAGAAGAAAUUUUGGAAAAUCCUCACUUGAUGGAGAGAUGAAUAAAUAAAAAUUAAUAAAAAACGCUGAUUCCGAACUACCAAACUAGCAGUAUAAUAGUCAUGAUUUAUAAGAACCUUACAAGUAAGAACUUUUAUUGCAGUUCUAUACCUGAUACAAGAUUUCAAACAAGGUUUUAAAUGUGUGUUCUCCUUAGUUCUUUCUUCACAUCAUUUUUUUUUUCAGAUUUGCUGAAAUGUUGCUCAGUUCUGAGGAGCAGGGUGCUUGAUUCUCCUUGAAACAAAAGUUUCAGCUCUUUAUGUUUCAUAAAUUUAUUUUUAGAUUGAUGUUCAUGUGGACAUCAGCAUGCAGAACAAAAAUCGUUUAACAUAAAAAAGAAAAGAUCUUUUGGAUACAUCUGGGCUCAUAAUUGUCUCCCACCAAGAGCAGGAGGCUUUCUUCGUGUGUUUAUGGAUGUGUGCACUGUAUGUACAUGCGAUUGUACAGACACAGCUAUUGAUGAGCUUACGUGUGCAUGCAUCUUUGAAGACUUAAGGCUUAUAUGUGUACUUAUAUCACUCUUCCAUUUUAGUUUUACAGUGGCUCUCACUAAAUCUAGAACUGAAUGGCUAGCCAGCAAGACCCUAGGAUUCAUUGGCUUCCAACUUCCAUGGUCCCAAGCAUUAGGUUUCUGACAUAUGCUCCCAUGCCUAGCUCUUACUUGGGAAACUCCUAUGCUUAUUCUUGCAUAGUAAGCAGUUUUACCACUGGGCCAUCUCCUCAGUCAAAGUAGUAUACUAUCUAAGUAUUUUUGGUUUCUGUUUUAAAGAAAUUCCUGCAUAUUUUAUUUAGCCUAAAAUUAUUGAAUGAUUUUCAGUAAAGAAAAUUUGGAGAGCAUUGUAAUGCAACUUAUAGAUAAUGAUUUCCCCCCAUAAACUAACACUUCUUUUUGUUACAGUCCUAUUAUCUUUAGAAAGUAAAAGACUGAUGUAUUUUUUGUCAUCCUUUAUAUUGGUUUUCCAUUCUUUAUUCUACUAUGAUGCUAAAAUUAGAUUCAAGGCAUUGUAAUUAUGCCAUAAUUACCAUGAUCAUAUUUUUCUGUCAUUGAAAAUUAGCACCGAGUUUGAUUUUUCUCCAAAACUACAACAGCUGCUCUCUUUCUGUAGCUCUAUAGAUUAAUACCAGAGCAAGUAGGAAUGUACAAGCCAUCUUCCUAUGCUGGCAAGGGGUGUGCCGAACCCACUGUUUCAUUGAAGUUAAUUGUUUCCCAAAAUUAUCAUUUUUAUUGGUAAUUUUAUUGCAGAGGACCUACAUUUUCUCUAAUUACACUGCAAGCUGUUGUGUUCUUACCAUUCAGAAAUGGAAAAAAAAAACACCCUGAAAACUUCUACUUACAAACAAGAUGUAGAAAUGAAACCAGAGGAAAAAGAAGUGACUUUUUGAGGUCACUCAGCAAACUAGAAAGACAAGAUGUAAAUA
Molecule: long non-coding RNA, 3094 nt
Organism: Mus caroli (Ryukyu mouse)
Lineage: Eukaryota; Metazoa; Chordata; Mammalia; Rodentia; Muridae
Source: RefSeq, a predicted model, not a curated record